Molecule: ribosomal RNA, 407 nt
Filed under: uncultured bacterium
Lineage: Bacteria
Description: partial 16S ribosomal RNA
Rfam family: Bacterial small subunit ribosomal RNA
Source: RNAcentral
AUUGAACGCUGGCGGCAGGCCUAACACAUGCAAGUCGAGCGGAGCGGCGGACGGGUGAGUAAUGCCUAGGAAUCUGCCUGGUAGUGGGGGAUAACGUCCGGAAACGGGCGCUAAUACCGCAUACUAUCAGAUGAGCCUAGUGCGGAUUGGCUAGUUGGUGGGGUAAAGGCCUACCAAGGCGACGAUCCUUAACUGGUCUGAGAGGAUGAGCAGUCACACUGGAACUGAGACACGGUCCAGAGUCCUACGGGAGGCAGCAGUGGGGAAUAGUGGACAAUGGGCGAAAGCCUGAUCCAGCCAUGCCGCGGGGGUGAAGAAGGUAUGCGGAUUUUAAAGCACUUUAAGUUGGGAGGCGUUACCAACAGAAUAAGCACCGGCUAACUUCGUGCCAGCAGCCGCGGUAAUUC